RNAcentral lists this ribosomal RNA (319 nucleotides) under uncultured eukaryote. RNAcentral's name for it is "partial 18S ribosomal RNA". It matches the Rfam family "Eukaryotic small subunit ribosomal RNA", at positions 1470 to 1796 of the family's 1831-position model. The record is from RNAcentral.
CCCUUAGAUGUCCUGGGCCGCACGCGUGCUACACUGACGCCUACAGCGAGUACUUCCCAGCCCCGAGAGGUGGCUGGUAAUCAGCAAUAGGCGUCGUGAUGGGGAUAGAUCUUUGGAAUUAUGGAUCUUGAACGAGGAAUGCCUAGUAAGCGCAGGUCAUUAGCCUGCGCUGAUUAAGUCCCUGCCCUUUGUACACACCGCCCGUCGCUCCUGCCGAUUUCGAGUGGUCCGGUGAAUCUUUCGGACUGCGCGCGGCCUCGUGCCGUGUCGCGGAAAGUCAGGUAAACCUUAUCACUUAGAGGAAGGAGAAGUCGUAACA